Molecule: ribosomal RNA, 303 nt
Filed under: Triticum aestivum (bread wheat)
Lineage: Eukaryota; Viridiplantae; Streptophyta; Magnoliopsida; Poales; Poaceae
Description: partial small subunit ribosomal RNA
Source: RNAcentral
AUGAGCGCAACCGUUGGCGUGAUGUUUGGUGGAGAAAAUGAUGUCUUGGCCACACAAAUGUUUCACUUCUUGAUUGUCUAUGCAUAUCUAGCUUCCCCAUGUAGCAAGAGAGCAACAAUGACGAGCACGGUGAAUGCACCGAUGGUUAUGUAUCGUGAUCUAGCAGGGAAUAUGAUGUAUCAAAACUUUGAGUUGGAGCCGAGUAAAAAGAAAAUAAUCCAUGGAAGAGUGGCUCAACUAGCAAACACCCAUCGUAUGGUGGCUCUUGUUUUCAGUUCAGUAAAAUUCAUCCUAGAGUGUUGA